Molecule: unclassified non-coding RNA, 244 nt
Filed under: uncultured Hyaloscyphaceae
Lineage: Eukaryota; Fungi; Ascomycota; Leotiomycetes; Helotiales
Description: sequence contains 5.8S rRNA gene
Rfam family: 5.8S ribosomal RNA (bases 1-53)
Source: RNAcentral
GAACGCACAUUGCGCCCCUUGGUAUUCCGAGGGGCAUGCCUGUUCGAGCGUCAUUUCAACCCUCAAGCACAGCUUGGUCUUGGGCCGCGUCACUAACCCAGCGGGUCUUAAAAUCAGUGGCGGUGCCGUCGGGCCCUGAGCGUAGUACAUCUCCUCGCUAUAGGGUCCCGGCGGAUGCUGGCCAGCAACCCCCAAUCUUCUAUGGUUGACCUCGGAUCAGGUAGGGAUACCCGCUGAACUUAAG